GACAGAGGCCCCAAGCGUUAGGCGGAAUCACUGGGCUUAAAGCGUGUGUAGGCGGAUCGUUAAGUGUCUUGUGAAAUCCCACGGCUCACCCGUGGAACUGCUGGGCAUACUGGCGAUCUUGGGCCAACUAGGGGCAGUCGGAACAAGCGGUGGAGCGGUGAAAUGCGUAGAUAUCGCUUGGAACGCCGAAGGUGAAAACAGACUGCUGGGGUUGCGCCGACGCUGAGACACGAAAGCCAGGGGAGCAAACGGGG
Molecule: ribosomal RNA, 254 nt
Filed under: uncultured bacterium
Lineage: Bacteria
Description: partial 16S ribosomal RNA
Rfam family: Bacterial small subunit ribosomal RNA
Source: RNAcentral